GCACCCAUGUUUUCCGCAUGUGUACGUAAUUAAUAGCCUAUAUCCUUUGCUGCAAGGUUAUAUCGAUAGUAUAAAAUAGAAGUUUGUAGCUGGGUACUUCAUACUAGAUCAGCUGAAGAUCAUUGUGUGAAUAUCUGAGUUAAUCUAAGGUCACUGGCUUACCUGCAUCAUUAACUAUGAAGUGCACAGCUGUUUUCCUCUUCUCACUCGUUGCAAUAGUUUCUGCUCAGUACCAUGGCACGGCAAAAUCUGGUGCCACGAGAAUGACAAGGUGGGGGCCACAUGGGAGGCAGGGCAAAUUCUGGUUCCUCUAGAAUGGCAAGCGGAGGCCACAUGGGCGGUAUGAAUCAAAUGGGAGGACAUCAUCGAAUGGGACGUAGUCCUGUCAUGCCAUCUGGGCAUAUGGGGAUGGGACGAAUGGGCACUGGACAUAUGGGAGCUGGACGAAUGAGCAGCGGACAAAUGGGAGCUGGACGAACUGGCAGUGGACAUAUGGGAGUUGGACAAAUAGGAGGAAUGAGUCAAAUGAGCGGACAUCAUCGUAUGGGACGUAGCCCUGUAAUGCCAGUUGGACAUAUGGGAUCUGGACGAAUGAGCACUGGACAUAUGGGAGGCAUGAGUCAAAUGGGACCUGGACAUAUGGCAGGAUGACCCAGAUGGGUUCUGGACAUAUGGCUGGACAUAUGGGAGGAAUGAGCCAAAUGGGAGGACAUCAUCGCAUGGGCCGCAGCCUUGCUAUGCCUGCAGGUCACAUGGGAGCUGGACAAAUAGGAGGAAUCGGUAUGGGACAUGGUGGAUCUGUAGGUUAUGCCGGACACAUGGGUGGCGCCUCAAGAAUGAUGGGAGGAAGGCAUCAUGGCUAAACUCGUGAUGUCCAUUUACUGAAUCUGAAUGAAUAGUCUAGGAGCUAUUUCAUGCAUAUCAUACAUAUUAGCCAAAAUGUAUACAUUUUAACAAGAUAAAUAAAAAUUGUACAUAUUUUAAUAACAUA
Stegodyphus dumicola is the source of this 991-nucleotide long non-coding RNA. The record is from RefSeq and is a predicted model, not a curated record. Lineage: Eukaryota; Metazoa; Arthropoda; Arachnida; Araneae; Eresidae.